RNAcentral lists this non-coding RNA (28 nucleotides) under Cricetulus griseus (Chinese hamster). Lineage: Eukaryota; Metazoa; Chordata; Mammalia; Rodentia; Cricetidae. The record is from RNAcentral.
AGGAGACUCUCGUGAUAAGAAGACGUGG